RNAcentral lists this ribosomal RNA (761 nucleotides) under uncultured Prevotella sp. RNAcentral describes it as "bacterial SSU rRNA". It matches the Rfam family "Bacterial small subunit ribosomal RNA", at positions 28 to 776 of the family's 1533-position model. The record is from RNAcentral. Lineage: Bacteria; Pseudomonadati; Bacteroidota; Bacteroidia; Bacteroidales; Prevotellaceae.
GAUGAACGCUGGCUACAGGCUUAACACAUGCAAGUCGAGGGGAAACGGCAUUGAGUGCUUGCACUGAAUGGACGUCGACCGGCGCACGGGUGAGUAACGCGUAUCCAACCUUCCCGUUACUGCGGGAUAACCUGCCGAAAGGCAGACUAAUACCGCAUGUUCUUCGAUGACGGCAUCAGAUUCGAAGCAAAGGUCCGUCGGUAACGGAGGGGGAUGCGUCUGAUUAGCUAGUUGGCGGGGCGACGGCCCACCAAGGCGACGAUCAGUAGGGGUUCUGAGAGGAAGGUCCCCCACAUUGGAACUGAGACACGGUCCAAACUCCUACGGGAGGCAGCAGUGAGGAAUAUUGGUCAAUGGGCGGAAGCCUGAACCAGCCAAGUAGCGUGCAGGAGGACGGCCCUACGGGUUGUAAACUGCUUUUAUGCGGGGAUAAAGUGAGGGACGCGUCCCUUUUUGCAGGUACCGCAUGAAUAAGGACCGGCUAAUUCCGUGCCAGCAGCCGCGGUAAUACGGAAGGUCCGGGCGUUAUCCGGAUUUAUUGGGUUUAAAGGGAGCGUAGGCCGGGGAUUAAGUGUGUUGUGAAAUGUAGGCGCCCAACGUCUGACUUGCAGCGCAUACUGGUUCCCUUGAGUACGCGCAACGCCGGCGGAAUUCGUCGUGUAGCGGUGAAAUGCUUAGAUAUGACGAAGAACCCCGAUUGCGAAGGCAGCCGGCGGGAGCGCAACUGACGCUGAAGCUCGAAGGUGCGGGUAUCGAGCAGG